AGUAUCGGGCCGUCGCAAGGUUCUUCCGGCAGACCGCCGGGAGCUAAGAGGGAAGCCGGUGCGCCCGCCAGGGUUAUUCCGGAGCUGCCCCCGCAACUGUAAGUGGUGAGCUUGCUGCCGCCCGUGUCACUGGUGCCCUGCACCGGGAAGGCCAGGCAUCGAGCGUUGACCCGCGAGCCAGGAAACCUGCCUUCGGCGCAUACGUCCU
This 208-nucleotide non-coding RNA is filed under the name Alphaproteobacteria bacterium. The record is from RNAcentral. Lineage: Bacteria; Pseudomonadati; Pseudomonadota; Alphaproteobacteria.